UACGGAGGAUGCAAGCGUUAUCCGGAUUCAUUGGGUUUAAAGGGUGCGCAGGCGGAUUGGUAAGUCAGUGGUGAAAUUCUAGUGCUUAACAUUAGACCUGCCAUUGAUACUGUCAGUCUAGAGUAUAGUUGGAGUGGGCGGAAUGUGUCAUGUAGCGGUGAAAUGCUUAGAUAUGACACAGAACACCGAUCGCGAAGGCAGCUCACUAAGCUAAAACUGACGCUCAUGCACGAAAGCGUGGGGAUCAAACAGG
RNAcentral lists this ribosomal RNA (253 nucleotides) under uncultured bacterium. RNAcentral describes it as "partial 16S ribosomal RNA". It matches the Rfam family "Bacterial small subunit ribosomal RNA", at positions 524 to 776 of the family's 1533-position model. The record is from RNAcentral.